AGGCAGCCAUUCAACCAGUGCAGAGCACCCCGUCCCUCAGCGAAGCGCUGCAGGGGCGGGGAAGCAUUGCCGGUUGAACUGCCUGCCUGCCCUGCCAGGAGGAGCCAAACCAGUGCAAAAGCGUGGGGCGAGGAGCCUGCCUGAGGAUGAUGUGUUCCCUGUCUGCGUGCUUGGCUCUCCUCCGCCUUCUUCACCACCACCACCCCUGCGAGGUAGGCCAGCCGGAGAGGGUUCGCUGUGCUUGAUGACCCAAGGCCGGGAUUCGAACUCGGGUCCGCCUCCUUGGGAGGACCGACAUCCCCAAACCGCUGCGCCUGGAUCGCAAAGAGAGUUUCCCCUUUGUCUCCCAGAUCAUUGCAAAAUCUUUCAGAGGAAUGCAAGAUCUGGCCAGGCUGUUAUAAACCUUUCAGAAUUGGAACGAAGAUGCACGUGUUGAAAGAGACUGAAGGAGAAAGGGAGAAGAAACCACCCAGGAAAAGGAACCAGAAAUGGCAACUUUUUGCCUCAGGGACUCGGCGGCCAUGUUUGGGCACAGACCGAGAGGAAAUGCAGGCUUUAUUUCUAAUAAAGAAUACAAAUUCAGAGCCGAUAAGAAGCACGCGUGAGCCACGGACAGGAAGCAAAAUUUUCGUUGCGUCAAGUGUUCUCGUGAUCUUGAGGCAACCUCGCAAGUCGACUUGUUCCACAGGAUCAUUCUGCGCCGUCCUGUCCCGGGAAACAUACACACCUCUUUGCCAGGCGUAAAAGGCAGGCGAAGAUGAAGGUUCCUAAAAGUGGGGCUUGGUCUGCAAACCGUGUCAAGCACAGCCUAGAUGAGGGAGGGAGGGAAGCAGAAGACGGCAAGAGAGGAAUUGCACUGUUUUAUUUGGUAUAUUCUUGACGGGCUACACAAAGUUGGCCGUCGGUCCUCCGCAUCGAAGGGGUGAAAAAGUUUUUUUAACAUGCUCAGAAGCACUCCGUCACUCAUCACAGCAACGCUGUCCAAACAGAAGCAAUGGGGAAUAAGGACCAGGAGCUUUGGGGAGGUACAGUGGGCCCUCGACUUACGAACCUAAUCCGUUCUGGAAGGACGUUCGUACCUCGGAAAGUUCGUAAGUCGAAGUACCAUUUCCCAUUGAAAUGCAUGGGAACGGAAUUAAUCUGUAUCUUAGGACCGAAAUAUGAACAAGGAAGUAUAUUCCUGGAGACAGAGCACAAACUUCUAGCAGAGAAAUAUUGUUUUUCCCCUGCUGAUUUUUAGCACUUUAAAAACAAAAUCCUACCUUACUUAAAAUAUACAGUAAUACCAUUUCAGGUAUUUUUU
Molecule: non-coding RNA, 1303 nt
Organism: Pogona vitticeps (central bearded dragon)
Lineage: Eukaryota; Metazoa; Chordata; Lepidosauria; Squamata; Agamidae
Source: RefSeq, a predicted model, not a curated record